CCCAGGUGGUUCUGGUUUGUGAUUGAUUCCUUCAUGGCAGCCUGCUGCCCCUGGGUUCUCCUUUUUCAAUAAGUCCAGACCUUUUUCUUGAUAUGUGUUUUGCAGCAAAUAAUUUGCUGCAAAAAUGUUUGCAGCCUGAACACCAGGGUCUAGCGGAUGAUCUAAAGUGUUGUUAUUGUCCUCUGUGUCGUCAUUGGCCAGUGGGUUGCGGCUGAUGACCAGCUCCAGUCUGUCUCCAGCCUCUGUGAUCAGCGGCACUGCCAGGCAGCAGUCGAAGUCCCUCGUCCUCACAUGGUUUACCUGAACAAAGACGGAGAGAUUCAGACAAUGGCUGCUAUGGAUCCUGUCGUAGGGUCUGAGCCCAGCUCGGUCAGCUGGACCAUCAGGUCUGAUCAUGUUGACAUAAACUCCUUUCUCCAAGAAGCCGUCUGACACACUGAAGCCAAAGUCGUCAAUCUCUGGGUCCUUUACCACUGUUACCUAUAGACAACAAGGAUGUGAUGUUGGCGAAACUGAAGCUUCAUAUUUCAACUCAAUUUAGUUUAAUCUGAGUUUAAACAUGAACGGAAAGCAGUGGCUGGCUGUUUGUUUAUUUUUUUGUUUUUUUUAACCUUAAUCCUUUACUCCUAUGUCAAACAUGUUUGGUCAGCACAGGUUAUCUUGAGGGUCUCUAACACACCAGGGUGAACACAAAGUUAUUACUAACCAACAGGUGUCACAUCAAAUGAUCUAAUGUUCUGUUUAAAAGUUGCCCUUGGAAAAGACUAUAAAGACAACAGCUGAUCACCAGCAUGAAAGGAAAUGAUCGGUCAGUAGUCCUAAUCCAAAAGACACAAAAUAAUUAGCCAACCACUCCCUAUGUCAUCGUGAAUCUUAUUAAACAGUCUCAUCAUAUUCUCAGAGUACGUCUGACAAAAGUUGCAUCUGGGAGUGUAGAGUUUUACUUUAGCAUUGCCUGCCAUUGGUCUCACUUGUGGAAGAAGUUAAAAUAAAGACAGACAGCUCUUUCUCACAGAUUUAUGCUGAACUGCCUAAAAUGGCUUCUGGUGCACCGCAAAAGAUACACGCUAUGAUCGGCCACAGACACCAAAUGUUGGCAUGGUGUGUCAGGGCCCAUGAAAUGGAGUUUGGACAUUAAGCCAGCUGUUUGGGACAUUAAACCAAUUUCGGAGAUAUAGCAAGCAUUAUGAUUGUACAUUUUUUAAAGAACACUGACAGAAAAAUCCACCUUUUUUCUUGAUAUUUAGCCAAAAUGGAUAAUGGGGUUUCUGUAUUGUUCUUUUAGGCUGACAGAGCAUACAGGGAAUGGUAUUUAAUUGAUUUAAAAGCAUUAAAGUCUUGUGUUACCACUGUGGUUCUACUGUAUAGGAUAUACUGUACAAUGUUCACCCAUGCUUUACUGAUGCACGAUUAAAUCUAGGAUAAAUGAUUCACAGGCCACUCCGCAACCACUGUUAUGCACAGUUUCAUUGCAGGAUAAAUGCAAGAUGGAGGUUUUUACAGUUGUUAAUCAACAGUUCUUUUCUGGCCUGCAUUAACAAAACUGAAAAAAGGCAACACUGUAUGACAAAUGAAUAUUGUAUGAUAUUUUAAUGAGACACCAGUUAGAGGCUGUAAAUUGGCUGAUGGCCAAUGAACCCAUCAGAUUUUAAUGUAAUUUCUCCCUGUGGAUAACGUAAUGGAUAAUGUAUUUCUUAUUCUGGCCUUGGGCUGAACAAGACUGAACGGAUCUUUGUAUGAAGUCAUUAUUGUAAAUCCACAGGAGGGUGAAGACAUGUAGCCACUAGCAUAACAGUUGCCUGGGAGGCAACUGGAUGCCAUGUCUCAUGUCUGUACAUUAAGUAUGGAACAAGCGCCAGUUGGUGAUCAAAGUGGCUGAGCAUAAAGACUGGAAGCAGGGUUGAACAGCUAGCCUGGCUCUGUCCAAAGGUGAAAAAUAUGCCUACUGUUAUAGUAUAGAUACUGUUACAGCACGUAGCUCCUCCUUAAUUCACACAUUGAUGCCAUCUUAAAAAUUCUGUUGGUGUACAUAUUAAAAAAACUAGAUACAAUGUGUUACUUAGUCAAUUUUCGAGGGGCUGGUAUGCAUGGACAGAGCAUGGCUGGCUCCACGGCUGAUGCAUGAAUGGAAUCAAUCUUCUUUUCUAACCCUCAACAAGAAAGCAAAUAAGCAUAUUUCCCAAAAAUGAGGACCUAUUCUUUGAAGCCGGUGUAAGGUCGAACACAAAACAUUAAGUCACUUUUCUUUUCAACUUUACAUUUGUUCUUAGUGUUCACCCUACACUCAUGCCCACACUUUAAGCAAUCCUAUCAACAUUUAGUCUAAGUCCUUAACCAGGGCAGAAGCCACAUCAUGGCAGAGUCAUCAGACAGAGGUUUGAACUCACUUUGUGCAGCUCCAAAGGCGUUGGGGACAGAAUUCCCUGCAUCUCCUCUUUGAUUCGACGAGACUCCCACGUCCUCUCUGACACUCUCAAUGACGCCUUGGGUUUGGGCUCGUGGUGCAUGAGAGGAGAUUGGUUAUCUUGGUGGAUGUGGGCCCCCUGGUGUAGGUGGGCCUCAUGGUUGAAAUGAAUCUCCUGGUGCAGGUGGGCGUCUGGGUGGGAUGAAAGGGUUGGUUUUUAAAUAAGAUUAAUGCGUUAUUUCAAAAAGCAUGUAGUGAACAGCACUG
Long non-coding RNA from Micropterus dolomieu (smallmouth bass), 2671 nucleotides. RefSeq lists it as uncharacterized. The record is from RefSeq and is a predicted model, not a curated record. Lineage: Eukaryota; Metazoa; Chordata; Actinopteri; Centrarchiformes; Centrarchidae. The transcript is spliced from 3 exons.